This 253-nucleotide ribosomal RNA is filed under the name uncultured bacterium. RNAcentral describes it as "partial 16S ribosomal RNA". It matches the Rfam family "Bacterial small subunit ribosomal RNA", at positions 524 to 776 of the family's 1533-position model. The record is from RNAcentral.
UACGUAGGGUGCAAGCGUUGUCCGGAAUUAUUGGGCGUAAAGAGCUCGUAGGCGGUCAGUCGCGUCUGCUGUGAAAACUCGGGGCUUAACCCCGGGCCUGCAGUGGGUACGGGCUGACUAGAGUGCGGUAGGGGAGACUGGAAUUCCUGGUGUAGCGGUGAAAUGCGCAGAUAUCAGGAGGAACACCGGUGGCGAAGGCGGGUCUCUGGACAGUUCCUGACGCUGAGGCACGAAGGCUAGGGGAGCAAACGGG